Molecule: ribosomal RNA, 491 nt
Filed under: uncultured bacterium
Lineage: Bacteria
Description: partial 16S ribosomal RNA
Rfam family: Bacterial small subunit ribosomal RNA
Source: RNAcentral
GAUGAACGCUGGCUACAGGCUUAACACAUGCAAGUCGAGGGGAAACGACGGGGAAGCUUGCUUCCCCGGGCGUCGACCGGCGCACGGGUGAGUAACGCGUAUCCAACCUGCCUCUGACUGAGGGAUAACCCGUCGAAAGUCGGCCUAAUACCUCAUGGCAUCGUCUGCGGGCAUCCAACGACGAUUAAAGAUUUCAUCGGCCAGAGAUGGGGAUGCGUCUGAUUAGCUUGUUGGCGGGGUAACGGCCCACCAAGGCGACGAUCAGUAGGGGUUCUGAGAGGACGGUCCCCCACAUUGGAACUGCGACACGGUCCAAACUCCUACGGGCGGCAGCAGUGAGGAAUAUUGGUCAAUGGGCGAGAGCCUGAACCAGCCAAGUAGCGUGCAGGAUGACGGCCCUAUGGGUUGUAAACUGCUUUUAUGCGGGGAUAAAGUGAGGGACGUGUCCUUCAUUGCAGGUACCGCAUGAAUAAGGACCGGCUAAUUCCGUG